This 23-nucleotide non-coding RNA is filed under the name Cricetulus griseus (Chinese hamster). Lineage: Eukaryota; Metazoa; Chordata; Mammalia; Rodentia; Cricetidae. The record is from RNAcentral.
GAGAGGAAACUGUAGGGGGUUUU